CAGGGAGAGAACGGAGCAUUAGAACAGGAGUUAUAAAUUCAAGCAAAUCUGCUAACUCUUUUCCUCCUUGCACCAACGGAGACAUCUUAACUACAAUAAUUUUGGAAGCCCCCUAAGCUACAGAGACACAUGAAGUGAAACUGGCAGGAGCUCUCAACACAGCCUUGCAUUCUACAAUGAUUCUAGCAAUGGAUAAUAGUUAAAAUCCACAAAUACAACACCACGCCUCUGAUCUCCCAUUCUAUCCCCAGAGGUUUGCUCAAGCCAGGCACACGGAAAACUUACAUCAAACUCCUCACUUCCAAGAUCAGAGGAAGUCCAAGCUGUCCCUCAAGGAUUCAGAGGAUUCCUUGGAGUGAAGAGAUGGAGAAGAAGCCAGAUAACAUUCUCAUAGCCCCAGCUGAUCCUGAUUCCGUGAAGGAAGUUACCACAUUGAUGCAAACUUGAAAUCCCACUUCUUCUCUAUUGCCUUCCUCCACGGACACAUGCAAAAAUAGAC
Molecule: long non-coding RNA, 499 nt
Filed under: Equus caballus (horse)
Lineage: Eukaryota; Metazoa; Chordata; Mammalia; Perissodactyla; Equidae
Description: lncRNA (ENSECAG00000060013.1)
Source: RNAcentral